Molecule: long non-coding RNA, 3848 nt
Organism: Eriocheir sinensis (Chinese mitten crab)
Lineage: Eukaryota; Metazoa; Arthropoda; Malacostraca; Decapoda; Varunidae
Exons: 3
Source: RefSeq, a predicted model, not a curated record
CAGUUGGUCGGUCUUGAGAUUAUUUGAAAACAACAGUGAGCGUUUUAUCCUUCAUCCUGAAUAACAAGCUUAACCUCAUGCUGUGCUGUGGAAGCCAGGGAUUAUGAGAGGUUGAUAAGGGAGGACCUAGGGCUGACAACCAAGGUCCACAGGAAACAUGCAGAAAUGACCUACAUUAGUUUAUUUAGGGCAAUAGGAUAAUAGGGUAACAGCAGCAUGUUUCUUACCACUUACUAAGAAAAGUGAAUAAUGAUUUCAAGUGGAUAACUUAAACACAAGACAUAGGCUGGUGUUUUACAAGACGAACUUAACAAGAUUUUUGCAGGGAACAAAAAACAAGUCUUCAGCAUCAACGAAAUAGUAACAAGUAUCCUCAUCAAGCUGAGCAAAAGGUACAAUCUUAAAAUAUCUCAGGUUCAUGCACUAAAGUCAACUUACACUUACCAUGAAGUAAAAAAGUUUUAUGAGGAUGUGAAAGUAGCAAUAAAGAAAGAUAAAACCGAGUUUUCAGUGGUCAUGGAGACUAAUGCUAUAGAGUGGGGACCAAAAUGUUGGUGAAGCAGCGGUUGACCAUUUUGGAAACGGUGCAAGAAGCGGGAGAGAAAAUCAGCUCGUUGAAUUUGUGGAAAGAAACAAACUGAUCUUCAUGAACACAUUUUCGAGAUAUGGACAUCAAUAACCCCUGAUAAAAACAUGAAUUUGAAUUAAUUUGUUCUUAUCGAAAAUCUGGACAUAGUAAAGGAUAAUACCCAGGAUUAAAUCCAAUGACCACCAACUGGAUUAUACCGAGGUCGGCAGUUUUAGUGGUUCACUCAACUUCAUCAGGCACGUCAGUGAUCUCUUGAACAUGUUGAACCAUGUUUUCAUUUCCGUGCUGUAAGUGCGCACAGGACUGUUCAACUGACUCCUUGUUCAACAAAGUAAUGAUCAAGGAAUUUCUUUAAGCUGGUUGUUUGUACAUGAAUCACUCAUCCAGGAAGGUUGUUCCAUCGCCUGAGGCUUCUAUUCGAGGAAAACAAAUCCUGUUGACCGCUAAUUUGGGAUUCCAAAAUCUUUGAGUGGUCGACGUUACUAUAUUUUUCAGGAAUUUGUACAACUUCAUAUAAGUCAUGUCAUAGUUAUUUGCUUUUCCGAAGUAAAGAGACUGAGUCGUUUGACUCAUUCUUCAUACUGCUGUUGCCUCAACGAUGAUAGAGUUUUCGUAGCGCGUCCCUGCAGUUUAUAAAGUCUUUGUAACUUCGGGAUCAGAUCUGCAGCACGGUGUAUUCCAGGGAGGCCUUGCCAACGAGUUUUAAAAAGUUAUCAAUACUCAGGACGUCUAACACUUAAAGUUCCCCGCUGAAAACCCGAGCAUAGUAUUAGCUCUGUUACAGGCAGACUUUCAGUUCUCUCAAUAUUUGAGGUCAUUGCCAUCAUAAGCUCAUACGCUGACGACUCCACUCUGCAAUAUUCAACGUCUUUCAACAGAAGACCCUCUCAACAUGAAGUGCAAGACUCCAAACUUGAGGUUGCAGAAUGCUUAACCUCAGACCUUACUAUCAUUUCUGAUUGGGGUAAAAGGAACCUUGUGUCCUUCAGUGUCUCAAAAAUCCAAUUUCUCCACCUAUGAACUCGACACAGUCUUCCAAACACCUAUCCCCUGUUCUUUAACAACACUCAGCUGUCACCUUCUUCAACACUAAACAUCCUUGGUCUAUCCUUAAGUCAAAAUCUUAUCUAGGAACCUAACAUCUCCUCUCUCACUAAAUCAGCUUCCUCAAGGUUGGGCGUUCUGUAUCGUCUCCACCAGUUCUUCUCCCCCGCACAGUUGCUAUCCAUAUACAGGGGCCUUGUCCGCCCUCGUAUGGAGUAUGCAUCUCACAUGUGUGUGUGUGGGGGGGGGCCGGGGCUCCACUCACACUGCUCUCUUGGACAGAGUGGAGUCUAAGGUUCUUCGUUUCAUCAGCUCUCCUCCUCUUACUGAUAGUCAUCUACCCCUUAAAUUCCACCGCCAUGUUGCAUCUCUUUCUAUCUUUAUCAUUAUUUUCACACUGACUGCUCUUCUGAACUUGCUAACUGCAUGCCUCCCCCCUUUUGCGGCCUCGCUGCACACGACUUUCUACUCAAGCUCAUCCCUUUAGUGUCCAAAUCCCUUACGCACGAGUUAACUAGCAUCUUCACUCUUUCAUCCCUCACGCUGGUAAACUCUGGAACAAUCUUCCUUCAUCUGUAUAUCCUCCUGCCUAUGACUUGAACUCUUUCAAGAGGAGGGUAUAAGGACACCUCUCCUCCCGAAACUGACCUCUCUUUUGGCCACUCCUCUUAACUCUUUUAUAGGAGCAGUGUGUAGCAGGCUUUUUUUCACUAUUGUUUCCUUUUUAUUUUAUUUUAUUUUAUUUAUUUAUUUAUUUAUUUAUUUUAUUUUAUUUUAUUUUAAUUUUUUUUUUUUUUUUUUUCCCCUUGAACUGUUUCCUCAGCUAUAAAAAAAUCUAAUUUCGCUAGGAUAUAUAACAUCCCUUUAGCUAUGGUUUGUCUUUUUCAUUUAUACUGUUCAAAAGGAUUAGGGGAGGAAUGUAAACAAAGCAAAGAAAGAGAAAGCAGAAAAGGUAUAAAGAACUCUAAAAGCCAGUGAAGACAUGAGAAGCCAUAGAGAGCAAGGGAGGGAGGCGAAGCUGGCGGAGAGUGAGGACGUAAAAGAGUAAAAGACAAAACGAAGAAUGACAAAUGACAGAAGAUAGACCAUGAAUGUCAAGGAGGGAAUAUAACCCUUAAAGACCCAACAAAUAAUAAACAUGUUUGCAAGGUUAUGACAAAGGUGGCUAUGUGGAUGGAUGAUGAAGACUAGAGGUAAAACAAGGAGAGGGACACACGGACAUGAAGGGAAGGAAGAUGAGGGUUUUGUGCUUCACGAUGGGGUGCGUGAGGGACCGGCGGGUCGUUGGUGUACGAGAUGUUGAUGUGUUGCGUUAGGAGACUAUGAGGAGGGUCUGGGGGAAAGCUAACAAUGAAAAUGAUGAUAAUAACAGUAAGAAUGAAAAUAAUAACUUUACAACUAUCAAUAUAAUGAAAAUGUGUAAUAAAGCGCAUGAAGACAAUGACCAAGAGACCAGUGGAGCAGGAGGGAGGAAAGAUGAUUCCGAGAUACUAUGUUUCGAGUCGGUUCCGAAAUUCAGACACGAAUAACAUCGAGUAUGACCUUUCUUUCACACUGCCUCUCCUCACCAAUGCAUCACUGCGUCCAGGACCAUAAAGCAUCACAAAGCAUAAAAAAAAGUCACCAGGCUUUCUAUGUAGGUUGGGGAGUCACUGAUUUCUUGGCCGAGUCUGAAGUUUGAGGCAUUUGAAGCAGGAAUAAGUUCGGAGCGAGAGAGAAGGAGAGAGAGGGUUGGGAGGGGGUGCAGCGAGGAAGGUGGAUGUAAAAGAGGCUUGAAGGAGGGAAGAGGACGAGGAAGGAAAGGAGGGAAUUAAAAGUUGCUGUUUAAUAGCACUUACAGAGGAAGGAGAGAGGAGGAGGGACGGGAGGAGAGGGGAGAGGGAAGGGGGAGAGCUUUAGCGGUGAUAGUCCAGCUCACGACAGGCCAGAGAAAGGUGCACGGGUCCUCCUCUUCCAUUGAACCAGCGAGCCCCACCCACUGGCCCCGCCCGCUGUCCUGCAGAAGGCCGACUCCGGAUUCCCUGUGAGGCGAGUGGCUGGUAGCAGACUUUUGCUCCUUUGUCAUCAGGAGUGUGUUCUGACGUCAUUCACUGUGAGGCAAUGCUGCAUCAGGGUUCAUCCACUCAACUCAUGGCCGUGCAGUCCGACCGUCCAGGGGACUAUGUAAGGAGAGGUGGUCUUGUCAAGACGACGAUGAGCAACAGUAGAAAGCCAC